This 406-nucleotide ribosomal RNA is filed under the name uncultured bacterium. Its description in RNAcentral is "partial 16S ribosomal RNA". It matches the Rfam family "Bacterial small subunit ribosomal RNA", at positions 30 to 526 of the family's 1533-position model. The record is from RNAcentral.
AUUGAACGCUGGCGGCAGGCCUAACACAUGCAAGUCGAACGAGUGGCGGACGGGUGAGUAAUGUCUGGGAAACUGCCUGCUGGAGGGGGAUAACUACUGGAAACGGUAGCUACUACCGCAUACCAUCGGAUGUGCCCAUAUGGGAUUAGCUAGUAGGUGGGGUAACGGCUCACCUAGGCGACGAUCCCUAGCUGGUCUGAGAGGAUGACCCGCCAAAUUGGAACUGAGACACGUUCCAGACUCCUACGGGAUGCAGCAUGGGGGAGUAUUGCACAAUGGGCGCAAGCCUGAUGCAGCCAUGCCGCGUGUAUGAAGAAGGCCUUCGGGUUGUAAAGUACGUGCAGCGGGGAGGCGUUACCCGCAGAAGAAGCACCUGCUAACUCCGUGCCAGCAGCCGCGGUAAUUC